Molecule: ribosomal RNA, 2773 nt
Filed under: Vibrio cholerae
Lineage: Bacteria; Pseudomonadati; Pseudomonadota; Gammaproteobacteria; Vibrionales; Vibrionaceae
Description: bacterial LSU rRNA
Rfam family: Bacterial large subunit ribosomal RNA
Source: RNAcentral
UUAAGUGACUAAGCGUACACGGUGGAUGCCUGGGCAGUCAGAGGCGAUGAAGGACGUACUAACUUGCGAUAAGCGCAGAUAAGGCAGUAAGAGCCGUUUGAGUCUGCGAUUUCCGAAUGGGGAAACCCAACUGCAUAAGCAGUUACUGUUAACUGAAUACAUAGGUUAACAGAGCAAACCGGGGGAACUGAAACAUCUAAGUACCCCGAGGAGAAGAAAUCAACCGAGAUUCCGGUAGUAGCGGCGAGCGAACCUGGAUUAGCCCUUAAGCACUCGGUGAAGUAGGUGAACAAGCUGGAAAGCUUGGCGAUACAGGGUGAUAGCCCCGUAACCGACGCUUCAUCGAGCGUGAAAUCGAGUAGGGCGGGACACGUGAUAUCCUGUCUGAAUAUGGGGGGACCAUCCUCCAAGGCUAAAUACUCCUGACUGACCGAUAGUGAACCAGUACCGUGAGGGAAAGGCGAAAAGAACCCCUGUGAGGGGAGUGAAAUAGAACCUGAAACCGUGUACGUACAAGCAGUAGGAGCACCUUCGUGGUGUGACUGCGUACCUUUUGUAUAAUGGGUCAGCGACUUAUAUUCAGUGGCAAGGUUAACCGUAUAGGGGAGCCGUAGCGAAAGCGAGUCUUAACUGGGCGUUCAGUCUCUGGAUAUAGACCCGAAACCGGGUGAUCUAGCCAUGGGCAGGUUGAAGGUUGAGUAACAUCAACUGGAGGACCGAACCGACUAAUGUUGAAAAAUUAGCGGAUGACUUGUGGCUAGGGGUGAAAGGCCAAUCAAACUCGGAGAUAGCUGGUUCUCCCCGAAAGCUAUUUAGGUAGCGCCUCGGACGAAUACUACUGGGGGUAGAGCACUGUUAAGGCUAGGGGGUCAUCCCGACUUACCAACCCUUUGCAAACUCCGAAUACCAGUAAGUACUAUCCGGGAGACACACGGCGGGUGCUAACGUCCGUCGUGGAGAGGGAAACAACCCAGACCGCCAGCUAAGGUCCCAAAGUAUUGCUAAGUGGGAAACGAUGUGGGAAGGCUCAGACAGCUAGGAUGUUGGCUUAGAAGCAGCCAUCAUUUAAAGAAAGCGUAAUAGCUCACUAGUCGAGUCGGCCUGCGCGGAAGAUGUAACGGGGCUAAGCAAUACACCGAAGCUGCGGCAAUAUCUUUUAGAUAUUGGGUAGGGGAGCGUUCUGUAAGCCGUUGAAGGUGAAUCGUAAGGUUUGCUGGAGGUAUCAGAAGUGCGAAUGCUGACAUGAGUAACGACAAAGGGGGUGAAAAACCUCCUCGCCGGAAGACCAAGGGUUCCUGUCCAACGUUAAUCGGGGCAGGGUGAGUCGACCCCUAAGGUGAGGCCGAAAGGCGUAAUCGAUGGGAAACGGGUUAAUAUUCCCGUACUUCUGACUAUUGCGAUGGGGGGACGGAGAAGGCUAGGUGGGCCAGGCGACGGUUGUCCUGGUUCAAGUGCGUAGGCUUGAGAGUUAGGUAAAUCCGGCUCUCUUUAAGGCUGAGACACGACGUCGAGCUGCUACGGCAGUGAAGUCAUUGAUGCCAUGCUUCCAGGAAAAGCCUCUAAGCUUCAGAUAGUCAGGAAUCGUACCCCAAACCGACACAGGUGGUCGGGUAGAGAAUACCAAGGCGCUUGAGAGAACUCGGGUGAAGGAACUAGGCAAAAUGGUACCGUAACUUCGGGAGAAGGUACGCUCUUGAUGGUGAAGUCCCUCGCGGAUGGAGCUGACGAGAGUCGCAGAUACCAGGUGGCUGCAACUGUUUAUUAAAAACACAGCACUGUGCAAAAUCGCAAGAUGACGUAUACGGUGUGACGCCUGCCCGGUGCCGGAAGGUUAAUUGAUGGGGUUAGCGCAAGCGAAGCUCUUGAUCGAAGCCCCGGUAAACGGCGGCCGUAACUAUAACGGUCCUAAGGUAGCGAAAUUCCUUGUCGGGUAAGUUCCGACCUGCACGAAUGGCGUAAUGAUGGCCACGCUGUCUCCACCCGAGACUCAGUGAAAUUGAAAUCGCUGUGAAGAUGCAGUGUACCCGCGGCUAGACGGAAAGACCCCGUGAACCUUUACUACAGCUUGGCACUGAACAUUGAACCUACAUGUGUAGGAUAGGUGGGAGGCUAUGAAGACGUGACGCCAGUUGCGUUGGAGCCGUCCUUGAAAUACCACCCUUGUAUGUUUGAUGUUCUAACUUAGACCCGUUAUCCGGGUUGAGGACAGUGCCUGGUGGGUAGUUUGACUGGGGCGGUCUCCUCCCAAAGAGUAACGGAGGAGCACGAAGGUGGGCUAAUCACGGUUGGACAUCGUGAGGUUAGUGCAAUGGCAUAAGCCCGCUUAACUGCGAGAAUGACGGUUCGAGCAGGUGCGAAAGCAGGUCAUAGUGAUCCGGUGGUUCUGUAUGGAAGGGCCAUCGCUCAACGGAUAAAAGGUACUCCGGGGAUAACAGGCUGAUACCGCCCAAGAGUUCAUAUCGACGGCGGUGUUUGGCACCUCGAUGUCGGCUCAUCACAUCCUGGGGCUGAAGUCGGUCCCAAGGGUAUGGCUGUUCGCCAUUUAAAGUGGUACGCGAGCUGGGUUUAGAACGUCGUGAGACAGUUCGGUCCCUAUCUGCCGUGGGCGUUGGAAGAUUGAAGGGGGCUGCUCCUAGUACGAGAGGACCGGAGUGGACGAACCUCUGGUGUUCGGGUUGUGUCGCCAGACGCAUUGCCCGGUAGCUAAGUUCGGAAUUGAUAAGCGCUGAAAGCAUCUAAGCGCGAAGCGAGCCCUGAGAUGAGUCUUCCCUGA